RNAcentral lists this ribosomal RNA (602 nucleotides) under uncultured Thelephoraceae. Its description in RNAcentral is "eukaryotic LSU rRNA". The stretch from base 207 to 361 matches the Rfam family "5.8S ribosomal RNA". Lineage: Eukaryota; Fungi; Basidiomycota; Agaricomycetes; Thelephorales; Thelephoraceae. The record is from RNAcentral.
CAUUACCAAAAAUUUGCGUACACACAUUUGUUGUUGGUCCUGGAUAAACCCAUUCUGUGUACCUUGCCUGUUGCUUCCAUGGAGCCUGACACCCUCCGCUCUUGUGAUGUCAGGCGCGCCCUACCCCCCUUCUGAGGUUCUGCAUCUUUACACACACUGCAAUGAAUUCUUAUGGAAUGGUCACCACCAAUGGUUAAAUAUUAUACAACUUUCACCAUCGGAUCUCUUGGCUCUCACAACGAUGAAGAACGCAGCUAAAUGCGGUAAGUAAUGUAAAUUGCAGAAUCCAGUAAAUUUUCAAAUCUUUUAACGCCCCUUGCGCCCCUUGGAGAUUCCCAAGGGCAUGCCUGUUUAAGUACCAUGAACACAUCAUCUCUCGUGGUUGGACAUGAAGAACUUGGACUUUGGCCGUUUUGACAUCCUGCGGUCGACUCCUCUUAAUGAAUGAGCUUGCCAGUGUUUGGUGGCUUCUCGGGUGGAUAACUAUCUACCCUUGCAAUUGUUUAUUCCAAGCCUGACCUGACAGAGGUUAGCUGGCCCUCAUAAACUUCUCUCCUCACGAGGACAAGGAAUUUAAGUUCGAUCUCAAAUCAGGUAGGAUA